CGGUAGCGCAACGGAUAGAGCGAGAGACUUCGAAUCUCUAGGCUGCGGGUUCGAGUCCUGCCCGG
Molecule: transfer RNA, 65 nt
Filed under: chicken gut metagenome
Rfam family: tRNA
About the family: Transfer RNA (tRNA) molecules are approximately 80 nucleotides in length.
Source: RNAcentral